CCUACGGGAGGCAGCAGUGAGGAAUAUUGGUCAAUGGCCGGAAGGCUGAACCAGCCAUGCCGCGUGAAGGUCAGUGCCCUAUGGGCGUUAAACUUCUUUUGUGCGGGAGCAAUAAUGGUCACGUGUGGCCAGACGAGAGUACCGUACGAAUAAGCAUCGGCUAACUCCGUGCCAGCAGCCGCGGUAAUACGGGGGAUGCAAGCGUUAUCCGGAUUUAUUGGGUUUAAGGGGUGCGUAGGCUGUGAGGUAAGUCAGCGGGGAAAUGCCCCCGCUCAACGGGGUGAAGUGCCAUUGAUACUGCCUUGCUGGAAUGCGGAUGCCGUGGGAGGAAUGUGUGGUGUAGCGGUGAAAUGCAUAGAUAUCACACAGAACACCGAUUGCGAAGGCAUCUCACGAAUCCGCGAUUGACGCUGAUGCACGAAAGCGUGGGUAUCAAACAGGAUUAGAUACCCCGGUAGUC
Molecule: ribosomal RNA, 460 nt
Filed under: uncultured bacterium
Lineage: Bacteria
Description: partial 16S ribosomal RNA
Rfam family: Bacterial small subunit ribosomal RNA
Source: RNAcentral